Non-coding RNA from Xiphophorus couchianus (Monterrey platyfish), 821 nucleotides. Lineage: Eukaryota; Metazoa; Chordata; Actinopteri; Cyprinodontiformes; Poeciliidae. The record is from the annotation of a RefSeq genome assembly.
GUCCAUUGAUCCUAGUUUCUAUUGCAGUCAGUCAGAGCAUUUCCAUAGAGCCACUUUGCAUCAGCAGCUCCAUGCUCCAGCGCUCUGGGAGAGUUUAUAGUCCUGACAGUUGAACACUGGAUGACUGACAGCUGUCCUUCAUCACAACAGAAGACACAGAAAUCCUCCUCAUCACAAACAUGACUUUGAUCUGCAUCCUCAUCUGGACUCUCCUCUGCUGCUGCUUCACAGAGGUCAGAGGUCAGGUCAGAGUGACUCAGCAGCCUGCAGCAGUGAGAGCUGGACUGGGAGGAUCUGUCACCAUCAACUGUAGAACCAGUCAAAAUGUUCAUGUUCACCUCAGCUCCUUCCCUUGUUUAGCAUGGUAUCAACAGAAAGAUGGACAAACUCCUAAGAUUCUCAUUUAUCUUUCUAGCACUAAAGAAUCAGGGACUCCAAGUCGUUUUUCAGGCAGUGGAUCACAUUCUGACUUCACUCUGACCAUCAGUGGAGUUCAGGCUGAAGAUGCUGCAGUUUAUUACUGUCAGAGUUACCACAACGUCAACAAUCAGUGGGUGUUCCCACAGUGAAAAUGUCUCGUACAAAAACCUCCCAGUCAAACUGAACAGGAACUGAAAUGACUGAAAAAGCUGCAAUAGCAACUAACUGCAAAUACAAGCAGACUUUUUAUGUAGCAGAUUAUGCUUUUCAAAUUUACUUAAAACAUCAACUUCAAUUUUAACUGAGUCCUCAUCUAGACUCUUAGUCUUUUCCAUAACAGUGAUAAUGUAGGUUAUGUAUGCUUAAAAAAUCCCACCUGACUGAAUCAUAUCAGCAAAACC